GCCCGAGUGACGAAAUAGGUAGACGUAAGGGAUUUAAAAUCCCUCGGCUUAAACAGCCGUGCCGGUUCGAUUCCGGCCUCGGGCACCA
Molecule: transfer RNA, 88 nt
Filed under: Polynucleobacter cosmopolitanus
Lineage: Bacteria; Pseudomonadati; Pseudomonadota; Betaproteobacteria; Burkholderiales; Burkholderiaceae
Also listed under: 6 other names
Description: tRNA-Leu
Rfam family: tRNA
About the family: Transfer RNA (tRNA) molecules are approximately 80 nucleotides in length. Their secondary structure includes four short double-helical elements and three loops (D, anti-codon, and T loops).
Source: RNAcentral